Small nuclear RNA from Rana temporaria (common frog), 103 nucleotides. Lineage: Eukaryota; Metazoa; Chordata; Amphibia; Anura; Ranidae. The record is from RefSeq and is a predicted model, not a curated record.
ACAGGAUGUUCUUGGUUCUUCUCUUCCUGAACCCUUCCUGAAAAGAUUGGCAUGGCCCCUACGCAAGGAUGAAACACAAAUUAGUGAAGCGUUCCAUAUUUUU